UAUUAGAAAGCGAAUAAUGGCGUUUAGUUUCGACCUAAAUUUUGAAGAAUUGACUUCUCUAAUAU
Molecule: transfer RNA, 65 nt
Filed under: Pontastacus leptodactylus (narrow-clawed crayfish)
Lineage: Eukaryota; Metazoa; Arthropoda; Malacostraca; Decapoda; Astacidae
Description: Astacus leptodactylus (narrow-clawed crayfish) tRNA-Arg
Source: RNAcentral